CCAUGUUGGCCAGGCUGGCCUCCAACUCCUGACCUCAGGUGAUCCACCCACCUCAGCCUCCCAAAGUGCUGGGAUUACAGGCAUGAGCCGCUGAGUCCAGCCUAGAAAGGAAAAUUUAAGACAUCAGCUUCAAAUUAAGAGCUAUGGAUCUAGAGAAACUGAGCAUAUUGUAACUGGUUGACAGCCGUGACCAAGGAAAACCACAGUACAGUACCUUCUUAAAACUUUCUAGAAACUUAAUUUGCUUCCCUUCUUUUAACGAGAUUUUAAUAUUUAAGGAUGUUUUCUAAACCUGUAAUUCUCAAAAAUUGGAAGUAAACGGAUUUUCAUUCAAUGAAGAGAACUGCCAUUUAGAAGUGAUGGGGUUUACAUAUUUUGUACCGUUAGUUCAUACCUAAGCUAAAAAUAGAAUAACCAGUUUCCCUAUGAUCUCGAGUUUAUGGAAAGCAGCCUUUCUGUUGGCAGUGACAACAAGUUCUCAUUAAAUACAUAAAGAUAAUGUACUCUUCUGCUGUUGUGUCCUUACCAAGAUCGUGGAGUAAAAUUUUGCAGUGUAAGAGGAUAGGGUUUUUCCCUAAGGAAGAGGAUUUUAUUGGCACUAACCACCAAAGAUGUGGUUCCUGAGCUUGGAAGACCAAACUGAGAAGGCUGCCAUUGACUGGAAGAGGAGGAAAUUCAGCCUUGCACUCUACACCACAGACUGAACUACUUGUGAUUUCCUAAACAUAUCAUUGCCUUGCCUUUUGCACAUUCUUAGACUCUUUUGGACUACUUCCUCAUUUCCUGCCCUCUCGCUUCUUUGUCCUUUAAGUCUUGGUUUUCUUAGGCUAGCACUUCAGUGAAAUCUUUCCUAAUUCCCUUCCCCCAAAUACCAUUUUAGGCGCCUCUUGUUUUCUUCUUUCUUUUCUUCUUUUUUGGUAGCUUAAACAAUAAGACCUUUAUUGUUUUAAAACCCAGCAGCAUGAGGAGUUCCUGGGUUGGGUGACUUAGAGGCUAUAAAAAUUCGUCACAAGCAUUACAAGAUAACCAGCAAUACCGCUGAUGAAAGAAAACCUCACAAGCAGCUAGCGGAAGCCAGCUCCUGUCCUCUUGUCCAAAGCUGGAUAGUGUCCAGCCAAACCAUUUUGAGGGUUGAAUGAGUGACUUCAAAGGGCGCAAAUGACUGGUGAAUCUUCCAGAUAAAGGGAGAGAGCACAGCCUUUCCUGCGUAUUUUAAAGUGACAGGUGCUCCACGCACUGAUUUAUCUUUUAUUACCCUGUCGCAGCAUUAGCAUACCCCAGCUACCGCAUGCAUCUUGCAAGCAGUGAUGUGUCGUCAGUAUAGGCACCGUGGUAAUCACAGAGUGCUCAAAUGUUUAUUGAAUAGAAAGAACAAGCUGUACCCGAUUAUAGCUAGCAAUGCUACGAAUAAGGAAAAACAAGACUAAUCAACGCCGUGGAGGGGAAAUUGGCACUUCUCUGGUAGAGACGGCGAUCAUCAUGGUUCUUCAAGGGGAAGGUGAAUAUCAAGGGAAAAGACUGGGAAGCCAUGAGGUCUUUCCACAGUGAUAUUUGGCAUUUGCAUUUUCUUAAAAUAGCAAGUAUCCUUCCAUCUUUUUCUUUGCCUAGGAGGGUAUUAUAAUUCAGAUAAAAGAUGGCUAUGGAUGUGGGAAAAAGAUGGAUAAGGAAAAUAUUGGAGAAGCAGAACUGACCAGAUCUGAUUGAAUGUAAAAGUGCUGAAAAGUUCUCUUCAUUUUGUUUAGCUCAUUUACCAUCUCCCCAAAUACUAAGCACAAAGUGAUAGACUGAAUUCCUAUCUCUUCAUGUCAAUGUGUUGACUUGUAGUUUGAAGUAGAGCCACACAUGUUUAGUCAAGAAUUGAUUGUAAAGAAUAAAAACCCUGUCCAACCAGGAAAUGAGCAAAGGAGGGUUGGGGUAAAGAUUGCAAGAAUAAACAUCUCAGACUCCAAGACAAGAAAAUAUGGGAACCGUGAAGACUGGUUUCGUAUGGAGACCAGCAGCCAUUCCCUUUGUCUCUAUUGCUGCCUACCCAAUUAGCAACUUCCCCCUUGUGACUUAAAUGCCAAAAAGAUGACUUUAAUGGCUCAAUUCAGUGUAUGAAAGAUUCCUGAGAAGAAUGCAUGAUAAAACGUAGCUUCCUAGGUCACCCUUUUAACAGGGACCAGGGGUUUGGGCUGCAGGAGGGCAGUUUCCUGAGGUCAGGCCAAGAAGUGGGCAGAUGUGUUAAAGAACAACUGAAUACUUCUUCAACUAUAUAAAGUCCUUUUAUAUGUAAUACGUGCUAUGUGAUUAAGUCAUUUUAUUUUAGCUUUUUAAAAAAAACCCAACAAAGGGAAAUACAAGGUAAUGGAAACAUUUUAAAGUUUUAAAAUCUGAGUCCUGGUCAUGGGUCUACUAUAAAUGUGAUUUCUUCCCAUAGCUUCUGUUUCUCUAGACUAAACAAGGGAGAUAGUUAUCAAAACUUCAGGUACUAUUUGAACAUACAUCAGCACUUGUUAAUUUGUUAUAAGCCCCGCAAUAGUCCCACAACAGAACACCACGCUUUAGUUUUCAGUAUGUUUCUUCGGCAAAUGAGGUGGUAGGUGGCCAGGCACUAGAUUCAAACUUGAUUUUCUCGGGAUUGUUUUUCCACUUUUAGAGAAUACCAUUCUUAGGCUAAACUCAAUUACAGAAUCUACUGCAUGAUAUACAGCCCUCUGUAGAGUUAAUUACAUCUCUUAAUGGGCAAAUUUUUAAUCUGUUCUUUUUUUCAAUUGCGUAAAAUCCAGAUCUCUCCUAGCUUUAAUUGACUUCCUCUUAUUUUCCCUACAACAAAUAUGGAAAAUAUCUACAUAAAGGUCUUUAUGUAUAAUAUAUAUUUGAAUAUGUAUCAAGUUGUUCCGCACUCUAUUUUUUGUCAGCUGUUAUUUAUUAAUUGCUCUGAACACUUCCAAGUGCUUUGUGUGUAUUAACUGAUUUCAUUCUUGUUACUCUGUGAGGUGGUAUGAUUAUCCCAACUUAAGAGGAAGCUGAAGCACAGUGAGCUAAAGUAGCAAUCGAAGUGAUGGAGCAGGGAGAGAAACCAGGCAGUCUGGCUUCAGAACGUCUAUCCGACCGCUAUGGUGUACUCGAGGAUCCCAUUCUGAAUGUAGGAAUAAACAAAUUCAGUUUCUCCCAGUUUAUGCUCCACUUUAUGAUACCCUUCUGACUCCAGAUGCAUGUUGGGGGAGGUUCCCCACACAUUAAGCAAGUAAGCAGUACUGCAGCAGACACCAGCUGGGUGUCCUCUAAUUCAAUUCACUUCUUACGCUACCUGGAGAUAGCCUCAGAUGCCAUAGGUUGAAGGCUCAGUCCCUCAAAAUGGCUUGCACUUUAGAUGCCAAUCAGAAGCCCCAGAUGGUGACCUAGGCUCCUAAACAACCAGCUAUAAGUUAGGGUUCCCAUAACCCCCUUCUUGGGCUCCAAUUAUUUGCUAGAGAGGCUCACAGAACUCAGGGAUGCCUAUACAGUCAUGCCCUACAUAAUGACAUUUUAAUGUCAGACUGCAUAGACAACAGUGACACCAUAAGAUUAUAAUAUCGUAUUUUUACUGUACCUUUUCUAUGUUUAGGUAUGUUUAGAUACACAAAUGCAGUCGACCAUUGAACAACAUGGGUUUGAACUGUGUGGGCCUGCUUAUAUGUGGAUAUUUUUUUUCAGUAAAUGAAUUGGAUACAUUUUUGGAGAUUUGGAACAAUUUGAAAAACCAGAUGAACCUCAUAGACUAGAAAAAAAAAAAAAAAAAAAAAGAAAAAGGUAUGUCAAGAAUGCAUAAAAUACAUGUAGAUACGAGUCUAUCAUUUACUAUCAUACA
Cebus imitator (Panamanian white-faced capuchin) is the source of this 3832-nucleotide long non-coding RNA. RefSeq lists it as uncharacterized. The transcript has 2 exons. The record is from RefSeq and is a predicted model, not a curated record. NCBI's taxonomy places the organism in Eukaryota, Metazoa, Chordata, Mammalia, Primates, Cebidae.